This 445-nucleotide ribosomal RNA is filed under the name uncultured bacterium. RNAcentral describes it as "partial 16S ribosomal RNA". It matches the Rfam family "Bacterial small subunit ribosomal RNA", at positions 354 to 796 of the family's 1533-position model. The record is from RNAcentral.
GUGAGGAAUAUUGGUCAAUGGACGAGAGUCUGAACCAGCCAAGUCGCGUGAAGGAAGACGGUUCUAUGAAUUGUAAACUUCUUUUGUGCAGGAAUAAAGUGGGUUACGUGUAACCUUUUGUAUGUACUGUACGAAUAAGGAUCGGCUAACUCCGUGCCAGCAGCCGCGGUAAUACGGAGGAUCCGAGCGUUAUCCGGAUUUAUUGGGUUUAAAGGGUGCGUAGGUGGAUUGAUAAGUCAGCGGUGAAAGUUUGCAGCUUAACUGUAAAAUUGCCGUUGAAACUGUCGGUCUUGAGUGCAAAUGAGGUAGGCGGAAUGUGUUGUGUAGCGGUGAAAUGCUUAGAUAUAACACAGAACUCCGAUUGCGAAGGCAGCUUACUGGGAUGCAACUGACACUGAUGCACGAAAGCGUGGGGAUCAAACAGGAUUAGAAACCCGAGUAGUCC